GACGAACGCUGGCGGCGUGCCUAAUACAUGCAAGUCGAACGAGAGCGACCGGUGCUUGCACUGGUCAAUCUAGUGGCGAACGGGUGAGUAACACGUGGGUAACCUGCCCAUCAGAGGGGGAUAACAUUCGGAAACGGAUGCUAAAACCGCAUAGGUCUUCGAACCGCAUGGUUUGAAGAGGAAAAGAGGCGCAAGCUUCUGCUGAUGGAUGGACCCGCGGUGCAUUAGCUAGUUGGUGAGGUAACAGCUCACCAAGGCCGUGAUGCAUAGCCGACCUGAGAGGGUGAUCGGCCACAUUGGGACUGAGACACGGCCCAAACUCCUACGGGAGGCAGCAGUAGGGAAUCUUCCGCAAUGGACGCAAGUCUGACGGAGCAACGCCGCGUGAGUGAAGAAGGUUUUCGGAUCGUAAAACUCUGUUGUUAGAGAAGAACAAGUGCUAGAGUAACUGUUAGCGCCUUGACGGUAUCUAACCAGAAAGCCACGGCUAACUACGUGCCAGCAGCCGCGGUAAUACGUAGGUGGCAAGCGUUGUCCGGAUUUAUUGGGCGUAAAGCGAGCGCAGGCGGUUCCUUAAGUCUGAUGUGAAAGCCCCCGGCUCAACCGGGGAGGGUCAUUGGAAACUGGGGAACUUGAGUGCAGAAGAGGAGAGUGGAAUUCCAUGUGUAGCGGUGAAAUGCGUAGAUAUAUGGAGGAACACCAGUGGCGAAGGCGACUCUCUGGUCUGUAACUGACGCUGAGGCUCGAAAGCGUGGGUAGCAAACAGG
Molecule: ribosomal RNA, 767 nt
Filed under: uncultured Granulicatella sp.
Lineage: Bacteria; Bacillati; Bacillota; Bacilli; Lactobacillales; Carnobacteriaceae
Description: bacterial SSU rRNA
Rfam family: Bacterial small subunit ribosomal RNA
Source: RNAcentral